This 266-nucleotide ribosomal RNA is filed under the name uncultured bacterium. Its description in RNAcentral is "partial 16S ribosomal RNA". It matches the Rfam family "Bacterial small subunit ribosomal RNA", at positions 1236 to 1500 of the family's 1533-position model. The record is from RNAcentral.
GGUACAACGAGUCGCAAGCUCGCGAGAGUAAGCUAAUCUCUUAAAGCCGUUCUCAGUUCGGACUGUAGGCUGCAACUCGCCUACACGAAGUCGGAAUCGCUAGUAAUCGCGGAUCAGCAUGCCGCGGUGAAUACGUUCCCGGGCCUUGUACACACCGCCCGUCACACCAUGGGAGUUUGUAACGCCCAAAGUCGGUGGCCUAACCUUUAUGGAGGGAGCCGCCUAAGGCGGGACAGAUGACUGGGGUGAAGUCGUAACAAGGUACC